This 500-nucleotide ribosomal RNA is filed under the name uncultured bacterium. RNAcentral's name for it is "partial 16S ribosomal RNA". It matches the Rfam family "Bacterial small subunit ribosomal RNA", at positions 30 to 523 of the family's 1533-position model. The record is from RNAcentral.
AUUGAACGCUGGCGGCAUGCCUUACACAUGCAAGUCGAACGGAUUCAAGGGGCUUGCUCCUUGAGUUAGUGGCGAACGGGUGAGUAAUGCAUCGGAACGUACCCAGUUGUGGGGGAUAACGUAGCGAAAGUUACGCUAAUACCGCAUACGACCUGAGGGUGAAAGCGGGGGAUCGCAAGACCUCGCGCAAUUGGAGAGGCCGAUGUCAGAUUAGCUAGUUGGUAGGGUAAAAGCCUACCAAGGCGACGAUCUGUAGCUGGUCUGAGAGGACGACCAGCCACACUGGGACUGAGACACGGCCCAGACUCCUACGGGAGGCAGCAGUGGGGAAUUUUGGACAAUGGGGGAAACCCUGAUCCAGCCAUGCCGCGUGAGUGAAGAAGGCCUUCGGGUUGUAAAGCUCUUUCGGACAGAAAGAAAUCUUUUGGGCUAAUACCCUGAGAGGAUGACGGUACUGUAAGAAGAAGCACCGGCUAACUACGUGCCAGCCGCCGCAGUAA